UAGGCGUUGAGAUGUUCUUGGUGAGUCAGCAACGACGAUCAGGUGGCCGGAUGAGUCAGCAAGGAGGAUGACGUGUCUGUAUGAAUGAGCAUGAAGUGUUACGUAUCGGAGAUGAGUCAGCUGCAAAGUUUACGUGCCCAGGGUGAGUCAGCAUUCAGGAUGACGUGUCAUUGGAGAGUUAGCAAGUAGGAUGACGCGGUCGUGGUGAGUCAGCAGUAAGGAUGACGUGUCGUGGGUGAGUCAGCAGUAGGGAUGACGUGUCGUAGGUGAGUCAGCAAAGACGAUGACGUGCCUUUGUGUUGACUCAGCAUAUUAUGAUGACGUGCCGUAAUGACUCAGAAUACAGCGUUGACGUGGAGGCGGACUCAGGGAUGCACUAUGACGUGUUACGUGAUUCAGUAGAAACGACGGCGUGCAAGGUGACUAACCAGGUUCCACCAGGAAAAAUUAUCCGGUUACCCACUCCGCUCCUCUCCGCCGCCGCCGCAAAGAAGCCAUUUCUUCUUCAUCUGCUGUAUUUCAAUCACUUUACUUUUACAUCGAUUGCUCCACCCAAUAAUUGUAUCCCAAUUUCCCCAACUUCCAAACCCUAAUUCUCAAUUCUCUGUCGCUCAAACAAUGGUUAAAGAAUAAUCAUAAUCAUGUUGUUCCUCCCAUCCAAACUCUAACUCUAGUUCCACAGCCUCACCGUUAUACAAGAGGGUGGCUGAGUCGGCGAAAUCAUGGAGCUGCAUCGGCGCCACCAGAAAUCAUGGAGCUGCGCGAUCGCCUCGACUAGUUGCAGGCUGUUCCUGGGCACGAGCCCGUGCUUAUUCGAGACACAACAAAGCUCAAGAUCUACGACCCCCGCCGGCAACAAAAGCUGGAGACUCCGAAUGUUGUCCUCUAUCCAUUUGAUCGUCUUUUCAUGAGAUUUGUAUAUUGAAGAAUGAGGAGUCUACUUGGAAGUGAGCGUUGUGAAGCUACUCACCAAAGAAGCAUUACACUAUUUAACUUGCAUCAAUUAGCUUAUCGUGCAAACUGGAGGAGGUUGUUUGAGGAUAUCCCAGAAAGGGAUGUGAGCUUUCUUCAAAAGUUUAGGGGUUGUGGUACCAUUUUUUUGUUUUGUUUUGGUUAAAAAGGUGUCUAUUAAUGUUUUCAUUGUGGGGUAAAAUGCAAUUAGCCCCUGCUAAUUAGAGAGUUCUUGUAAUUUCUAUAAUGUAGAAAGUGAAGGAGCUGCACAGGCUAUAUUUUCUUGCAGAUUUUGUAGAUAAUCACCAUAUGAGAAAGUGUGAUUGAGUUUGCUAAACACUAGAUCUAAGGCAACUAUAAUUCUAUGGAUGAGUAUAUGUUUUCCAAGUUUGAGAUUGAAGAACUUCUACAGUCUGCAUCUAAAAAGAUAAUAAUGAAAGUAUAAUGUGGGAUGCUCCACUCUCUCAGAUAAGUCUACUCAAAUAAUGUUGCUUGACCUUAUAAUUAGUUUACAAUGUAACAAAUCAACCAAAUCGAAGAGCAAUAUAAAAUUUGGUAUGUAUUGAACUGAGUGAAGACAUUUUAUUUCAAUUUUAACUUUUAUAUAAAUUCAGUAUUCAGUUCAAUUUUGGUUUUUAGUUGUACUCAGUUUUAUUUGGUUCUAUUCAGUAUUUUGUAUCGAGUUGGUUGCAAAAUUCUAGAUUCAUUUAAUGUAUGCAUGUGAACAUCAUUCUAGAAGGGAAAAAUAUGUGAGAGACGAGUCACAUGGAGACAUCCCGCAUAUUGUCCAAUCAUGUUUGAAGUAUUGUUAUGGUUUGCAUUCUCACAUGCAUAAUGACUUUUUCCUUUCCACUUGUUAGGGAAAGCUUCAGCUCUCCAGGGUGAUUGUAGACAUGGUCUGCUAAUCAAAUUCAAGCUCAUACUCCUGCCUGAGUUCAUAAAAGGAUUUAUGAAUUUUCAAAGCAAAUGCCUGAAGUAUUUCAUUUUCAAUCGCUUCCCCACAAAGAAUUCUGGAUCAAUUUUUUCCAGGAGUUUAUCUCAGAUGGAAGGGACAUUGGACUGUGUAUCUUUACCAGUGACAUUGAGAGGGCUUGUUCUUCCAGACAUGCAUGCUUGUGGUUCACCUAGUUGAAGAGUAUCCAGUCUGUGUCAGGUUGUCCUAAUAGCUGCUCCUAAAGAUGUGUUACAGGUCCUUGAGACUUGACAUCACCGUCGACUUCCUCUGGCUUAUCGUUGGCGCUCGUAUUUAGGUUCCAAACUCAACAAUGGCAACUAAACAUGAGGGUUAUGCUCGAUGCAGUGACUUUUGGUUUGUCAAAAGAACGUCCUCGCAUUAUUUGACAUUGAUUGGGAGCCUCACUCUUCAAGCUACCACUUAAAUGGGGACAACAUCUAUCGUGCUUGCUGGGCUUGUUGAUUCGCUUACGCUGCUUGGCGGUAACUUGGCUGACCACAGAUUCUUGUUCUUUGGUGCUGGAUAAGUACCUCUACUCUUGAUUUUCUCUUUUUCGUCCUCUAACUUCUAGCGGCUAUGGAAGGAGGAAUAAUCAACAUGACAUAGAGCGGGCUAACCUGUUGAUGAUCUGAUGAAUAUCUUAGGCAAAUGAGGCACUGAUGACUAAUAAGUUUGCUUCUCAGAAAGAUGAAUAUUGAACUCUCCAUCCUAUCUCCUUAUUUCUUGUAAUAUCCACUCUAAGACCGAAAAUCCAUAAUAAGUUCCAACCAAUUUGGGCAAACGAAAAUCUAAUAAAAAAAUAUAUGUGGAAAAACACGACCCUUUCCCCUAGAUUGACAUACCCUCAUUUUAGUACUAAUAAUGACUAUUUUCUGCACAACAGUGGAAGCUUUGGCUAGUCAAUUAACACACGAACACUGUCAUAAGGGAAUGAUUUUUCCUCCUUUUUCAAUAUAAGAAAGAUCUCUGCUCAUAUUGCUGCAAAUGUAGCUGCUAAAGCAUAUGAACUCGGUCUGAUAACACGGCUGCCUCAACCUGCUGACUUGGUUAAGUAUGCUGGAAGCUGCACGUACGCUUCAAGUUACAGAAGUUACAGAUUAAGCUCCUGCUCAUGAUGUGCGUUGUUUUGAGCAUGUUUGCUAACAUUAUGUAUAAUGUGUCUAUAUAUGUGUGCCAUAAGCUUCAUCAUGUUGUAAAAUUUGUUCAGUAGGAAUCCUGUUAGAGCAUGUCUAUAUUGGUCGCAAAGAGUUGAUAACGGCUGAAGAUUUGGUUGUGGUGUUUAGUUAUAGUUUGUAAAACGAAUGUUUUACAUCUUUGCAUGGGGUGGAGACUUGCGCUGGAUUGAAGAA
This is a long non-coding RNA of Sesamum indicum (sesame), 3255 nucleotides long. RefSeq lists it as uncharacterized. The record is from RefSeq and is a predicted model, not a curated record. Lineage: Eukaryota; Viridiplantae; Streptophyta; Magnoliopsida; Lamiales; Pedaliaceae.